CAGCAGCCGCGGUAACACGGAGGGUGCAAGCGUUAAUCGGAAUUACUGGGCGUAAAGCGCACGCAGGCGGUUUGUUAAGUCAGAUGUGAAAUCCCCGGGCUCAACCUGGGAACUGCAUUUGAAACUGGCAAGCUAGAGUCUCGUAGAGGGGGGUAGAAUUCCAGGUGUAGCGGUGAAAUGCGUAGAGAUCUGGAGGAAUACCGGUGGCGAAGGCGGCCCCCUGGACGAAGACUGACGCUCAGGUGCGAAAGCGUGGGGAGCAAACAGGAUUAGAUACCCCUGUAGUCCCUGUCUCUUAUAC
Molecule: ribosomal RNA, 301 nt
Filed under: uncultured bacterium
Lineage: Bacteria
Description: partial 16S ribosomal RNA
Rfam family: Bacterial small subunit ribosomal RNA
Source: RNAcentral